GACGAACGCUGGCGGCGUGCUUAACACAUGCAAGUCGAGCGGAAAGUCCCUGCUUUUGUGGGGUGCUCUAGUGGCGAACGGGUGAGUAACACGUGAGUAACCUGCCCUUGACUUUGGGAUAACUUCAUGAAACUGGGUCUAAUACCGGAUAGGAGCUCCUGCUGCAUGGUGGGGGUGGGAAAGUUUCGGCGGUUGGGGAUGGACUCGCGGCUUAUGAGCUUGUUGGUGGGGUAGUGGCUUAGCAAGGCAUUGACGGGUAGCAGGCCUGAGAGGGUGGCCGGCCCCACUGGGACUGAGAUACGGCACAGCCUACUACGGGAGGCAGCAGUGGGAAAUAUUGCACAAUGGGCUGAAGCCUGGCGCAGCAAAGCCGCGUGCGGGAUGACAGCCUUCGGGUUGUAAACCGAUUUCGCCUGUGACGAAGCGUGAGUGACGGUAAUGGGUAAAGAAGCACCGGCUAACUCCGUG
This 468-nucleotide ribosomal RNA is filed under the name uncultured bacterium. Its description in RNAcentral is "partial 16S ribosomal RNA". It matches the Rfam family "Bacterial small subunit ribosomal RNA", at positions 28 to 507 of the family's 1533-position model. The record is from RNAcentral.